Molecule: ribosomal RNA, 244 nt
Filed under: uncultured bacterium
Lineage: Bacteria
Description: partial small subunit ribosomal RNA
Rfam family: Bacterial small subunit ribosomal RNA
Source: RNAcentral
AGAAUCAACGCUGGCGGCGUGCCUAACACAUGCAAGUCGAACGAGAAAGGGUAGCAAUACCUGAGUAAAGUGGCGCACGGGUGAGUAACACGUGACUAACCUACCCUGGAGUGGGGGAUAACUGAGGGAAACCUUAGCUAAUACCGCAUAACACCUACGGGUCAAAGGAGCAAUUCGCUUCAGGAGGGGGUCGCGGCCGAUUAGUUAGUUGGCGGGUAAUGGCCACCAAGACAGUGAUCGGUAU